AACGAACGCUGGCGGCAUGCCUAACACAUGCAAGUCGAACGAGACCUUCGGGUCUAGUGGCGCACGGGUGCGUAACGCGUGGGAACCUGCCCUUAGGUUCGGAAUAACUCCCCGAAAGGGGUGCUAAUACCGGAUAAUGUCUUCGGACCAAAGAUUUAUCGCCUUUGGAUGGGCCCGCGUUGGAUUAGCUAGUUGGUAGGGUAAAAGCCUACCAAGGCGACGAUCCAUAGCUGGUCUGAGAGGAUGAUCAGCCGCACUGGGACUGAGACACGGCCCAGACUCCUACGGGAGGCAGCAGUGGGUAAUAUUGAACAAUGGGCGAGAGCCUGAUCCAGCAAUGCCGCGUGAGUGAUGAAGGCCUUAGGGUUGUAAAGCUCUUUUACCCGGGAUGAUAAUGACAGUACCGGGAGAAUAAGCACCGGCUAACUCCGUG
RNAcentral lists this ribosomal RNA (433 nucleotides) under uncultured bacterium. Its description in RNAcentral is "partial 16S ribosomal RNA". It matches the Rfam family "Bacterial small subunit ribosomal RNA", at positions 29 to 507 of the family's 1533-position model. The record is from RNAcentral.